GGAGAGGGUAUGGGGGUACAGUGAUACAGGGGGAGAGGGUAUGGGUGUACAGUGAUACAGGGGGAGAGGGUAUGGGGGUACAGUGAUACAGGGGGAGAUGGUAUGGGGCAGAGUGGUACAUGGAGGAGAAGGUAUGGGGGUACAGUGAUACAGGGGGAUAGGGUAUGGGGCAGAGUGGUACAUGGAGAAGGUAUGGGGGUACAGUGAUACAGGGGGAUAGGGUAUGGGGCAGAGUGGUACAUGGAGGAGAAGGUAUGGGGGUACAAUGAUACAGGGGGAGAGGGUAUGGGGGUACAGUGAUACAGGGGGAGAGGGUAUGGGGCAGAGUGGUACAUGGAGGAGAAGGUAUGGGGGUACAGUGAUACAGGGGGAGAGGGUAUGGGGCAGAGUGGUACAUAGAGGAGAGGGUAUGGGGCAGAGUGAUACAUGGAGGAAAAGGUAUGGGGGUACGGUGAUACAGGGGGAGAGGGUAUGGGGUAGAGUGGUACAUGGAGGAGAAGGUAUGGGGGUACAGUGAUACAGGGGGAGAGGGUAUGGGGCAGAGUGGUACAUGGAGGAGAAGGUAUGGGGGUACAGUGAUACAGGGGGAGAGGGUAUGGGGCAGAGUGGUACAU
Pelobates cultripes (western spadefoot toad) is the source of this 614-nucleotide non-coding RNA. Lineage: Eukaryota; Metazoa; Chordata; Amphibia; Anura; Pelobatidae. The record is from the annotation of a GenBank genome assembly.